Molecule: long non-coding RNA, 643 nt
Organism: Oncorhynchus keta (chum salmon)
Lineage: Eukaryota; Metazoa; Chordata; Actinopteri; Salmoniformes; Salmonidae
Exons: 4
Source: RefSeq, a predicted model, not a curated record
GGUCCAUACUGCUCCUACACGGUGUAACAGUACUGAGUAGGUCCAUACUGCUCCUACACGGUGUAACAGUACUGAGUAGGUCCAUACUGCUCCUACACGGUGUAACAGUACUGAGUAGGUCCUAACUGCUCCUACACGGUGUAACAGUACUGAGUAGGUCCAAACUGCUCCUACACGGUGUAACAGUACUGAGUAGGUCCAUACUGCUCCUACACGGUGUAACAGUACUGAGUAGGUCCAUACUGCUCCUACACGGUGUAACAGUACUGAGUAGGUCCAUACUGCUCCUACACGGUGUAACAGUACUGAGUAGGUCCAUACUGCUCCUACACGGUGUAACAGUACUGAGUAGGUCCAUACUGCUCCUACACGGUGUAACAGUACUGAGUAGGUCCAUACUGCUCCUACACGGUGUAACAGUACUGAGUAGGUCCAUACUGCUCCUACACGGUGUAACAGUACUGAGUAGGUCCAAACUGCUCCUACAUGGUGUAACAGUACUGAGUAGGUCCAUACUGCUCCUACACGGUGUAACAGUACUGAGUAGGUCCAUACUGCUCCUACACGGUGUAACAGUACUGAGUAGGUCCAUACUGCUCCUACACGGUGUAACAGUACUGAGUAGGUCCAUACUGCUCCUACA